CUUCGGGGACAUUGGUGACAGGUGGUGCAUGGUUGUCGUCAGCUCGUGUCGUGAGAUGUUGGGUUAAGUCCCGCAACGAGCGCAACCCUUGUCUUUAGUUGCCAUCAUUAAGUUGGGCACUCUAGAGAGACUGCCAGGGAUAACCUGGAGGAAGGUGGGGAUGACGUCAAAUCAUCAUGCCCCUUAUGCUUAGGGCUACACACGUGCUACAAUGGGUAGUACAGAGGGUUGCCAAGCCGUAAGGUGGAGCUAAUCCCUUAAAGCUACUCUCAGUUCGGAUUGUAGGCUGAAACUCGCCUACAUGAAGCUGGAGUUACUAGUAAUCGCAGAUCAGAAUGCUGCGGUGAAUGCGUUCCCGGGUCUUGUACACACCGCCCGUCACACCACGGGAGUUGGAGACGCCCGAAGCCGAUUAUCUAACCUUUUGGAAGAAGUCGUCGAAGGUGGAAUCAAUAACUGGGGUGAAGUCGUAACAAGGUAGCCGUAUCGGAAGGUGCGGCUGGAUCACCUCCUUUCUAAGGAGA
This 524-nucleotide ribosomal RNA is filed under the name Clostridioides difficile. Its description in RNAcentral is "bacterial SSU rRNA". It matches the Rfam family "Bacterial small subunit ribosomal RNA", at positions 1017 to 1533 of the family's 1533-position model. Lineage: Bacteria; Bacillati; Bacillota; Clostridia; Peptostreptococcales; Peptostreptococcaceae. The record is from RNAcentral.